Molecule: non-coding RNA, 99 nt
Organism: Acanthosepion pharaonis
Lineage: Eukaryota; Metazoa; Mollusca; Cephalopoda; Sepiida; Sepiidae
Source: the annotation of a GenBank genome assembly
GUUGAAACACCUGUUCCCUUAUGAUCACCGAAAUUAAGCAACGUCGUGCUUUGUCAGCACCUGGAUGUUUGAACGCUUGAGAAUACUAGGAGUUGUAGG